UACAGAGGUCUCAAGCGUUGUUCGGAUUCAUUGGGCGUAAAGGGUGCGUAGGCGGCGCGGUAAGUCGGGUGUGAAAUCUCGGAGCUUAACUCCGAAACUGCAUUCGAUACUGCCGUGCUUGAGGACUGGAGAGGAGACUGGAAUUUACGGUGUAGCGGUGAAAUGCGUAGAUAUCGGGAGGAACACCAGUGGCGAAGGCGGCUACCUGGCCCACUCUUGACGCUGAGGCGCGAAAGCUAGGGGAGCAAACGGG
Molecule: ribosomal RNA, 253 nt
Filed under: uncultured bacterium
Lineage: Bacteria
Description: partial 16S ribosomal RNA
Rfam family: Bacterial small subunit ribosomal RNA
Source: RNAcentral